This 1327-nucleotide non-coding RNA is filed under the name Aspergillus clavatus NRRL 1. Its description in RNAcentral is "Eukaryotic small subunit ribosomal RNA". It matches the Rfam family "Eukaryotic small subunit ribosomal RNA", at positions 272 to 1629 of the family's 1831-position model. The record is from Rfam by way of RNAcentral. Lineage: Eukaryota; Fungi; Ascomycota; Eurotiomycetes; Eurotiales; Aspergillaceae.
CAUGGCCUUGCGCCGGCGAUGGUUCAUUCAAAUUUCUGCCCUAUCAACUUUCGAUGGUAGGAUAGUGGCCUACCAUGGUGGCAACGGGUAACGGGGAAUUAGGGUUCGAUUCCGGAGAGGGAGCCUGAGAAACGGCUACCACAUCCAAGGAAGGCAGCAGGCGCGCAAAUUACCCAAUCCCGAUACGGGGAGGUAGUGACAAUAAAUACUGAUACGGGGCUCUUUUGGGUCUCGUAAUUGGAAUGAGUACAAUUUAAAUACCUUAACGAGGAACAAUUGGAGGGCAAGUCUGGUGCCAGCAGCCGCGGUAAUUCCAGCUCCAAUAGCGUAUAUUAAAGUUGUUGCAGUUAAAAAGCUCGUAGUUGAACCUUGGGUCUGGCUGGCCGGUCCGCCUCACCGCGAGUACUGGUCCGGCUGGACCUUUCCUUCUGGGGAACCUCAUGGCCUUCACUGGCUGUGGGGGGAACCAGGACUUUUACUGUGAAAAAAUUAGAGUGUUCAAAGCAGGCCUUUGCUCGAAUACAUUAGCAUGGAAUAAUAGAAUAGGACGUGCGGUUCUAUUUUGUUGGUUUCUAGGACCGCCGUAAUGAUUAAUAGGGAUAGUCGGGGGCGUCAGUAUUCAGCUGUCAGAGGUGAAAUUCUUGGAUUUGCUGAAGACUAACUACUGCGAAAGCAUUCGCCAAGGAUGUUUUCAUUAAUCAGGGAACGAAAGUUAGGGGAUCGAAGACGAUCAGAUACCGUCGUAGUCUUAACCAUAAACUAUGCCGACUAGGGAUCGGGCGGUGUUUCUAUGAUGACCCGCUCGGCACCUUACGAGAAAUCAAAGUUUUUGGGUUCUGGGGGGAGUAUGGUCGCAAGGCUGAAACUUAAAGAAAUUGACGGAAGGCACCACAAGGCGUGGACCCUGCGGCUUAAUUUGACUCAACACGGGGAAACUCACCAGGUCCAGACAAAAUAAGGAUUGACAGAUUGAGAGCUCUUUCUUGAUCUUUUGGAUGGUGGUGCAUGGCCGUUCUUAGUUGGUGGAGUGAUUUGUCUGCUUAAUUGCGAUAACGAACGAGACCUCGGCCCUUAAAUAGCCCGGUCCGCAUUUGCGGGCCGCUGGCUUCUUAGGGGGACUAUCGGCUCAAGCCGAUGGAAGUGCGCGGCAAUAACAGGUCUGUGAUGCCCUUAGAUGUUCUGGGCCGCACGCGCGCUACACUGACAGGGCCAGCGAGUACAUCACCUUGGCCGAGAGGUCUGGGUAAUCUUGUUAAACCCUGUCGUGCUGGGGAUAGAGCAUUGCAAUUAUUGCUCUUCAACGAGGAAUGCCUAGUAGGCACGAGUC